CCUACGGGGGGCUACAGUGGGGAAUAUUGGACAAUGGGGGGAACCCUGAUCCAGCCAUGCCGCGUGUAUGAAGAAGGCCCUCGGGUUGUAAAGCACUUUCAGUGAGGAAGAACGCCUGGUGGUUAAUACCCAUCAGGAAAGACAUCACUCACAGAAGAAGCACCGGCUAACUCCGUGCCAACAGCCGCGGUAAUACGGAGGGUGCGAGCGUUAAUCGGAAUUACUGGGCGUAAAGCGCGCGUAGGUGGCUUGAUAAGCCGGUUGUGAAAGCCCCGGGCUCAACCUGGGAACGGCAUCCGGAACUGUCAAGCUAGAGUGCAGGAGAGGAAGGUAGAAUUCCCGGUGUAGCGGUGAAAUGCGUAGAGAUCGGGAGGAAUACCAGUGGCGAAGGCGGCCUUCUGGACUGACACUGACACUGAGGUGCGAAAGCGUGGGUAGCAAACAGGAUUAGAUACCCCAGUAGUC
This 465-nucleotide ribosomal RNA is filed under the name Vreelandella stevensii. RNAcentral's name for it is "partial 16S ribosomal RNA". It matches the Rfam family "Bacterial small subunit ribosomal RNA", at positions 338 to 795 of the family's 1533-position model. The record is from RNAcentral. Lineage: Bacteria; Pseudomonadati; Pseudomonadota; Gammaproteobacteria; Oceanospirillales; Halomonadaceae.